CUGCCCCGGUCCCUGACGCUGCGCCUGCUGGGGGCGACUCUCCCUCUCGGACCAAGGGACCCGGCUCCUGGGCACCUCGGCCGGGUGAAGCCGGCACGGGCGGUGGGCCGGGAUUGGAGGGCUGCGCCUCGGAUUUCUGGGGAGACACUGCGGCAUCAGAACUUGAGCUGUGUUCCCAAUUUCAUACAGAUGCCAAGGCUUCAUAUAUGAAGGACAUUCACUAAAAAGGGAGCCAAACCCAGAUGGUACGGAGGAAAUGGCGCCAGUAAAAAACGUGAUGUUUGCCUGAAACGUGUGGCUUUUCAAACUGAAGGAUUAAUAAGAGGACUUUGUUUAUUUCAUUUCCCUUCCUGUUGUGGCACAGAAUGUAUUACCUGCAGCAAAGCCCAUCAGCUGGAACCAGAAUGUUGGUAAGAAUAGAAAGCCUUGCAGACCACCUCACUGAAUGUGAUGCUCAGAGUAUAGGUGGAAAAUUCAUAAAUUGGGAUUUGAUGCCAGACGGAGAGAAAAAAAGUCUCAUUUGAUCCUUGAGCACUUGCCAACCUCUCUAUUUUUAAUUGUGGAGCCAGUGAGCUAGCAGGAACCAGACCGUUCCACAGGAAACAGUAUUUGGCUGGAAUCAGGUACAACAUGGGACAGGUCAACGAAAUUUUAUGUCAUGCUGAUUAAGAGUUUCCAGUUUUCUGUUUUCAGUAUCUGUGGCUUCACUGCUCAAAGCCUACCUUCAGCAGCCCAGUGCCACAUUUGAGACUGCAGCACCCCAUUUCAAGGCACCUGAUCUGAUGGCAGUGAGUUGAAGGUCAUCCAAAAGUGUUGCUGUACACAUUAAUGAAGAACACGUUGAAACCUUUCAUGAAGAUCUCACUUUUACACUGGACACAUUGGCUUCACCAAAUUUACCCAAGAUAGGUGAUUAUCUAAAGGUUUUUACAUGAGAAGUGGAAUUUCCUUUGAAAAUUAUUUAUGUAUUUUGAGAGAGAAAAG
This is a long non-coding RNA of Hyaena hyaena (striped hyena), 984 nucleotides long. RefSeq lists it as uncharacterized. NCBI's taxonomy places the organism in Eukaryota, Metazoa, Chordata, Mammalia, Carnivora, Hyaenidae. The transcript has 9 exons. The record is from RefSeq and is a predicted model, not a curated record.